AACUUAUCAAGAGUGGCGGAGGGACCUGACCCAAUGAAGCCCGGCAACCAGUUUAUUUGUAAACCACGGUGCUACAUUCAGCAGAGCAGCUUUUGUUCUGAAAGAUAAGUG
This 111-nucleotide non-coding RNA is filed under the name Shouchella clausii KSM-K16. Its description in RNAcentral is "Bacillus clausii KSM-K16 SAM riboswitch aptamer (S box leader)". It matches the Rfam family "SAM riboswitch aptamer (S box leader)". From Rfam's summary of the family: The SAM riboswitch is found upstream of a number of genes which code for proteins involved in methionine or cysteine biosynthesis in Gram-positive bacteria. The SAM riboswitch acts at the level of transcription termination control. Lineage: Bacteria; Bacillati; Bacillota; Bacilli; Caryophanales; Bacillaceae. The record is from Rfam by way of RNAcentral. RNAcentral also lists the same sequence under 1 other name.